CAGCCGCCGCGGGAAUACGAAGGGUGCAAGCGUUACUCGGAAUUACUGGGCGUAAAGCGUGCGUAGGUGGUGGUUUAAGUCCGUUGUGAAAGCCCUGGGCUCAACCUGGGAAUUGCAGUGGAUACUGGGUCACUAGAGUGUGGUAGAGGAUAGUGGAAUUUCCGGUGUAGCAGUGAAAUGCGUAGAGAUCGGAAGGAACAUCUGUGGCGAAGGCGACUAUCUGGGCCAACACUGACACUAAGGCACGAAAGCGUGGGGAGCAAACAGGAUUAGAUACCCCAGUAGUCCCUGUCUCUUAUAC
This 301-nucleotide ribosomal RNA is filed under the name uncultured bacterium. Its description in RNAcentral is "partial 16S ribosomal RNA". It matches the Rfam family "Bacterial small subunit ribosomal RNA", at positions 509 to 807 of the family's 1533-position model. The record is from RNAcentral.